UGGCUCAGAACGAACGCUGGCGGCAGGCUUAACACAUGCAAGUCGAGCGGGCGUAGCAAUACGUCAGCGGCAGACGGGUGAGUAACGCGUGGGAACGUACCUUUUGGUUCGGAACAACACAGGGAAACUUGUGCUAAUACCGGAUAAGCCCUUACGGGGAAAGAUUUAUCGCCGAAAGAUCGGCCCGCGUCUGAUUAGCUAGUUGGUAGGGUAAUGGCCUACCAAGGCGACGAUCAGUAGCUGGUCUGAGAGGAUGAUCAGCCACAUUGGGACUGAGACACGGCCCAAACUCCUACGGGAGGCAGCAGUGGG
Molecule: ribosomal RNA, 312 nt
Filed under: Bradyrhizobium japonicum
Lineage: Bacteria; Pseudomonadati; Pseudomonadota; Alphaproteobacteria; Hyphomicrobiales; Nitrobacteraceae
Description: bacterial SSU rRNA
Rfam family: Bacterial small subunit ribosomal RNA
Source: RNAcentral